AUGGACGAAAGUGAUUGCAUCCAAUUCUUGAUUGAUCGAAUUAUUACGAAAAUUGGUGGAUGGGAAGAAAAAUUGUUAUCUGCAUGAGGAAAGGAAAAUUUUCUCAAAUUUGUUGUACAAGAUAUCCCAACUUAUGCCAUGUCCGUCUUUAAAAUUUCUAAAUAAAAGUGUAAAGGGAUCAUUGACGCGAUGUCGCAAUUUUGUUGGGCUGACAAGGACAGUCAGAAGAGAAUGCAUUGGAUGACGCGGUGGCAUAUGCGUGUCCCAAAAGAUAAAGGAGGUACAAGUUUUCGAGAUACAGAAGCAAUUUGGCUUUGUUAG
Molecule: ribosomal RNA, 321 nt
Filed under: Triticum aestivum (bread wheat)
Lineage: Eukaryota; Viridiplantae; Streptophyta; Magnoliopsida; Poales; Poaceae
Description: partial small subunit ribosomal RNA
Source: RNAcentral